Molecule: non-coding RNA, 30 nt
Filed under: Mus musculus (house mouse)
Lineage: Eukaryota; Metazoa; Chordata; Mammalia; Rodentia; Muridae
Source: RNAcentral
UGAGGCCCAUCAUAUCGACAAAAUUUGCCU